This is a ribosomal RNA of Naegleria gruberi, 119 nucleotides long. Lineage: Eukaryota; Heterolobosea; Eutetramitea; Acrasida; Naegleriidae. The record is from Rfam.
GGCUACGGCCAUAUCACGAUGAAUGCACCUCAUCCCGUCCGAUUUGAGAAGUUAAGCAUCGUCGAGCCACAUCAGUACUGAGGUUGGAGACAACUUGGGAACCUGUGGUGCUGAAAUCU